This 112-nucleotide small RNA is filed under the name Caminicella sporogenes. RNAcentral describes it as "Guanidine-I sequence". It matches the Rfam family "Guanidine-I riboswitch aptamer". Rfam says of the family: This family represents a conserved RNA structure found upstream of the ykkC and yxkD genes in Bacillus subtilis and related genes in other bacteria. The function of this family is unclear although it has been suggested that it may function to switch on efflux pumps and detoxification systems in response to harmful environmental molecules. Nelson showed that this riboswitch senses and responds to guanidine and it was renamed Guanidine-I riboswitch. The record is from RNAcentral. RNAcentral also lists the same sequence under 1 other name. Lineage: Bacteria; Bacillati; Bacillota; Clostridia; Peptostreptococcales; Caminicellaceae.
UGAAAGCGCACCUAGGGUUCCGAUUAAAAUUUUUAUUUUAAUGGCAGGUCCGAGUGGUGCGGAUGUUACAUGAUUUGUAAUGUUACACCGUGGGGAGAAAAGCCCGGACGGG